Molecule: long non-coding RNA, 1915 nt
Organism: Oreochromis niloticus (Nile tilapia)
Lineage: Eukaryota; Metazoa; Chordata; Actinopteri; Cichliformes; Cichlidae
Exons: 3
Source: RefSeq, a predicted model, not a curated record
AUGUGGUAGGGUGUGUUUUGUGGCUCAGCUGCACGGGAGGGGUGGAGUAGUGGGUUCAGGGGUGGUGUCAGAGGAGGCUGACUUACACAGCUGAUCUCCAUUGUCUAAUCAUGCCUUCCCUAUGUGAGCAAGUUACUGGGACUUGAGAAGAGGACUGUGUGGUGUGGACUGAGCAAGUGGCAUAGAGCAUGAGCUCGCAAAGGGAGCUCAAGAGCUGUGCACAAAAAGUUGUGAGUUGGGACUUGUCUUCUUGUCAUGUGUGGAUGGACCCGUGAUGGGCACAGCCGCUAUGCAUCGGGAGCAGGUGGCAGCACAUCAGUGACAGCUCAGUACCCCAUUAGAUCCUGGAUGAAACACUCGCUCAUCCUAUCUUUAAUCAAAAGUUACGCUAGUUGUGAUGUUUGAUCAAACUCAGAAGAGAGGGGUAACAGACAACCAUUUGUGGAAUUUCCUUCCCAGCUUUUAGUGCUUGAAAUUCUUCUGGACUUCACUUUCAACUGAGCCAUCCUAUCGCCUUACUGCUCUAGCCCUCGGCAUCAGCUAGGACCGCGUGCACCUGGACCAAUUAUGGUUACUGGAAGAUGGAGCCUCAUCCAGGUCUGAUGUGGUAACAAAACCCCAGCCCUACCUCUACUCCAGUUGCCCAUAACUGAAUGGUCUUCAGCAACCUGACUCCAAGACUACAGAGCGACUAGAAAUACAGAGAGAGAUCUACAAAGGGCGAUCAAAUGUUUAAUCUCGUUUUUUGCAGGAAUCUUUCAGUUUUAAAGUAUAUGAAAAUCUGUACAGAUUUUGUAUGAUAAAAUUAUUCAGAUAAGGGUUAGAAGCGAAGUGACUUCUGAAUAAUGAAAGACUGAAUCUCUAACGAAAGCCACAUAACCAAUAAGAAUUUAUUGUCACAAGCACAAUUUGUUACACAAAAAUUAUGGGUCACAUUUACACAUUUUAUACAGAUCUAGAACUCAAUGUACAAUUAACCUACUAACUAAAUACCAAUAGUUAAAUAUGCACUCACAUUGGACACAAUAUCAUUAAAACCUACACAAAAAUGUACUGUGUGAAAGUAACACGAGUCGACAUAAAAAUCACAUUAUUUACAACAACAUAAAAAACCAAAAAAACCCAUCAAUUUGAGAUCUUUAGCAAAAGGAUGUUUGAAGGUUCUCCCAUCUGUCUGAGACAUUAUACAAUCUGGCAUGUAAAAGCUCCCCCACUACAAAGUUUUAGUCAGUCUCUUAAUUGUUGAAAAGAUUAUAAAGUAAUAAAUUCAAGUAGCGAGAGCUGAAGAACACCGAAUACACUAGUUUAUACUGCGCUUUGCUAGGACGGUAUGGCGGUUUUUCCCUUUUUAAAGCAGGCUGGUGUGAUUAGCAGUUAGCUUCAUGAAGUGCACUUCAAGCCUUAGCAACUUUCUGCAAUGAGAUUUUUGUAAAAAAUUUUGUUCCAUGUAUACAGAGAAUCCUUCUAUGGGCGCAUCAAGUUUUCUUUCUAGAGAUUACGACAUCACUACAUAUAGGUAAUACAAUAAGGUUGAUGGAGAGAGCGGUUGCAGCAUCAACUGGAGGUGAGCAUCUCAUCUCCCGCUGCUGUUUGGCAGAGUCGGUAAUGAUGUGCAAGAGGCCAUUUCAGACAGAUGGAGGUGGACAUCGUCAACCCUUUAUGUAACCUAUGAUUCUGCCAUUUGUCCGGCACUGAAAACAUUUUCUGUCAUGUUAGGUAGUGAUACAUGGAAGCUAUAACAAAACUGAGACAAACAGACCCAGUUAAAGUUACCGCUACGCUGGUGUAGAAACUCUGUCACCAUUAUACACUGUAUAAAAGAUGACUACAGGCUGCGGAUCUUAAACGCAGAGGCAGAGCAAAGAUGCCAGACACUUGCAUUUUUUCCCUAAUAAUCAACAGUCGGAGUGACCAC